RNAcentral lists this unclassified non-coding RNA (350 nucleotides) under soil metagenome. Its description in RNAcentral is "partial contains 5.8S ribosomal RNA, internal transcribed spacer 2, and large subunit ribosomal RNA". The stretch from base 1 to 120 matches the Rfam family "5.8S ribosomal RNA", at positions 35 to 154 of the family's 154-position model. The record is from RNAcentral.
GAUGAAGAACGCAGCGAAAUGCGAUAAGUAAUGUGAAUUGCAGAAUUCAGUGAAUCAUCGAAUCUUUGAACGCACAUUGCGCCCGCCAGUAUUCUGGCGGGCAUGCCUGUCCGAGCGUCAUUUCAACCCUCGAACCCCUCCGGGGGGUCGGCGUUGGGGAUCGGCCCUUUACGGGGCCGGCCCCGAAAUACAGUGGCGGUCUCGCCGCAGCCUCUCCCGCGCAGUAGUUUGCACACUCGCAUCGGGAGCGCGGCGCGUCCACAGCCGUUAAACACCCCAAACUUCUGAAAUGUUGACCUCGGAUCAGGUAGGAAUACCCGCUGAACUUAAGCAUAUCAAUAAGCGGAGGA